UGCAGCCCACCGGGCUCCUCCGUCCAUGGGAUUUUCCAGGCUAGAGUACUAAAGUGUUGAUAUUUAUUCUCCCCACUAGAGGGCAGUGCUUGAAAGGAUUACAGUCCUUACCUCUGAACUUAGUACAACGGACUGGAACAAGCCCUAGUAUUGUUACUUCCCCUAACCCACGCAGAGAGCACAUAAAGAUUUUAUUUCUUUGAAGGAAAAAGGAGAAAGAAAUAUGUUUGCUCUAACAUGACGCAGAAAUCAGUGAUGACGCUGUCUUAACUUGCUGAGCUUGGAGAAAGAGAAACGCUAGUAAAAUUUAAUACUCUGAAUCAUCAAAGGAUAAAUGGAAGAAGACAUCUUUAUAAAUGCUUUCCAGAUCCUGGGAUGACAUCUUGCUAUCAUCUCUCUCAUUGCUGCAAGACUGACAGUCCACAGAAUUGUUUCCCUAAGUGUAGGCAGUGAGUAACAGGGAGGAGAGAGAAGUGUUAUAGCAGGGAUAUGGGAGUGUUUUGAAGCCACAGGAUCUCUCACAUCUUGCCCGGUGGAAGGGACAUAAGCCCCCGUAACAUCCCCACCUGGCGGCGCCCAGAACUGCAGGGCUGUUUCACGGUCA
RNAcentral lists this long non-coding RNA (604 nucleotides) under Capra hircus (goat). RNAcentral's name for it is "lncRNA (ENSCHIG00010001374.1)". The record is from RNAcentral. Lineage: Eukaryota; Metazoa; Chordata; Mammalia; Artiodactyla; Bovidae.